Molecule: ribosomal RNA, 719 nt
Filed under: Bacillus sp. (in: firmicutes)
Lineage: Bacteria; Bacillati; Bacillota; Bacilli; Caryophanales; Bacillaceae
Description: bacterial SSU rRNA
Rfam family: Bacterial small subunit ribosomal RNA
Source: RNAcentral
AUACAUGCAAGUCGAGCGAAUCGACGGGAGCUUGCUCCCUGAGAUUAGCGGCGGACGGGUGAGUAACACGUGGGCAACCUGCCUAUAAGACUGGGAUAACUUCGGGAAACCGGAGCUAAUACCGGAUACGUUCUUUUCUCGCAUGAGAGAAGAUGGAAAGACGGUUUACGCUGUCACUUAUAGAUGGGCCCGCGGCGCAUUAGCUAGUUGGUGAGGUAAUGGCUCACCAAGGCGACGAUGCGUAGCCGACCUGAGAGGGUGAUCGGCCACACUGGGACUGAGACACGGCCCAGACUCCUACGGGAGGCAGCAGUAGGGAAUCUUCCGCAAUGGACGAAAGUCUGACGGAGCAACGCCGCGUGAACGAAGAAGGCCUUCGGGUCGUAAAGUUCUGUUGUUAGGGAAGAACAAGUACCAGAGUAACUGCUGGUACCUUGACGGUACCUAACCAGAAAGCCACGGCUAACUACGUGCCAGCAGCCGCGGUAAUACGUAGGUGGCAAGCGUUGUCCGGAAUUAUUGGGCGUAAAGCGCGCGCAGGUGGUUCCUUAAGUCUGAUGUGAAAGCCCACGGCUCAACCGUGGAGGGUCAUUGGAAACUGGGGAACUUGAGUGCAGAAGAGGAAAGUGGAAUUCCAAGUGUAGCGGUGAAAUGCGUAGAGAUUUGGAGGAACACCAGUGGCGAAGGCGACUUUCUGGUCUGUAACUGACACUGAGGCG